UACGGGGGGGGCAAGCGUUGUUCGGAAUUACUGGGCGUAAAGGGCUCGUAGGUGGCCAACUAAGUCAGACGUGAAAUCCCUCGGCUUAACCGGGGAACUGCGUCUGAUACUGGAUGGCUUGAGAUUGGGAGGGGGAUGCGGAAUUCCAGGUGUAGCGGUGAAAUGCGUAGAUAUCUGGAGGAACACCGGUGGCGAAGGCGGCAUCCUGGACCAACACUGACACUGAGGAGCGAAAGCCAGGGGAGCAAACGGG
This 253-nucleotide ribosomal RNA is filed under the name uncultured bacterium. RNAcentral's name for it is "partial 16S ribosomal RNA". It matches the Rfam family "Bacterial small subunit ribosomal RNA", at positions 524 to 776 of the family's 1533-position model. The record is from RNAcentral.